GCUGACGAGCGGCGGACGGGUGAGUAAUGCUUGGGAACAUGCCUUGAGGUGGGGGACAACAGUUGGAAACGACUGCUAAUACCGCAUAAUGUCUACGGACCAAAGGGGGCUUCGGCUCUCGCCUUUAGAUUGGCCCAAGUGGGAUUAGCUAGUUGGUGAGGUAAUGGCUCACCAAGGCGACGAUCCCUAGCUGGUUUGAGAGGAUGAUCAGCCACACUGGGACUGAGACACGGCCCAGACUCCUACGGGAGGCAGCAGUGGGGAAUAUUGCACAAUGGGCGCAAGCCUGAUGCAGCCAUGCCGCGUGUGUGAAGAAGGCCUUCGGGUUGUAAAGCACUUUCAGUCAGGAGGAAAGGUUAGUAGUUAAUACCUGCUAGCUGUGACGUUACUGACAGAAGAAGCACCGGCUAACUCCGUGCCAGCAGCCGCGGUAAUACGGAGGGUGCGAGCGUUAAUCGGAAUUACUGGGCGUAAAGCGUACGCAGGCGGUUUGUUAAGCGAGAUGUGAAAGCCCCGGGCUCAACCUGGGAACUGCAUUUCGAACUGGCAAACUAGAGUGUGAUAGAGGGUGGUAGAAUUUCAGGUGUAGCGGUGAAAUGCGUAGAGAUCUGAAGGAAUACCGAUGGCGAAGGCAGCCACCUGGGUCAACACUGACGCUCAUGUACGAAAGCGUGGGGAGCAAACGGGAUUAGAUACCCCGGUAGUCCACGCCGUAAACGAUGUCUACUAGAAGCUCGGAGCCUCGGUUCUGUUUUUCAAAGCUAACGCAUUAAGUAGACCGCCUGGGGAGUACGGCCGCAAGGUUAAAACUCAAAUGAAUUGACGGGGGCCCGCACAAGCGGUGGAGCAUGUGGUUUAAUUCGAUGCAACGCGAAGAACCUUACCUACACUUGACAUACA
RNAcentral lists this ribosomal RNA (900 nucleotides) under Pseudoalteromonas sp. WH10-8-1. Its description in RNAcentral is "bacterial SSU rRNA". It matches the Rfam family "Bacterial small subunit ribosomal RNA", at positions 87 to 990 of the family's 1533-position model. Lineage: Bacteria; Pseudomonadati; Pseudomonadota; Gammaproteobacteria; Alteromonadales; Pseudoalteromonadaceae. The record is from RNAcentral.